Molecule: transfer RNA, 109 nt
Filed under: Deltaproteobacteria bacterium
Lineage: Bacteria; Pseudomonadati; Myxococcota; Myxococcia
Description: tRNA-Gln
Source: RNAcentral
GGGGGCGUGGUGUAACCGAAAGGCUGUACUAUCCUCGGUUGUCGUGCGUGAGACAACAUACCGGGAUCUGAACCCGGUGAUGCUGGUGCAAGUCCAGCCGCCUCCACCA